RNAcentral lists this ribosomal RNA (370 nucleotides) under uncultured bacterium. RNAcentral's name for it is "bacterial SSU rRNA". It matches the Rfam family "Bacterial small subunit ribosomal RNA", at positions 527 to 896 of the family's 1533-position model. The record is from RNAcentral.
GGAGGGGGCUAGCGUUGUUCGGAAUUACUGGGCGUAAAGGGCGCGUAGGCGGCUUGCUAAGUCGGUGGUGAAAUCCCGUGGCUCAACUACGGAACUGCCAUCGAUACUGGCGAGCUUGAAUCCGGGAUAGGUCGGCGGAAUUGCUGGUGUAGCGGUGAAAUGCGUAGAUAUCAGCAGGAACACCGAUGGCGAAGGCAGCUGGCUGGACCGGUAUUGACGCUGAGGCGCGAAAGCGUGGGUAGCAAACAGGAUUAGAUACCCUGGUAGUCCACGCCCUAAACGAUGGAUACUUGGUGUGACCGGCGCAGUGCCGGUUGUGCCGCAGCUAACGCAGUAAGUAUCCCGCCUGGGGAGUACGAUCGCAAGAUUG